AUGGCGGCGACUCAUCCGGCCUACAACCUCAUGAAGAUUCCUGGAAGCAAAGGUGUCCUCACCGUCAAGGGGGACACCAAGGAGGCCGUGACAGUGCUCAAACUUGCCUUCAAGACCGCCGCCGCGGCGCAGCCCGUUGGUGCCGGUGCACCCUCGCGAGGCUUGCACCCUCGCGAGGCUCGCGCCGGUGCCCCCGAGGCCAAGGAGGCCGCGCCAACCAAGAAGAAGCAGUUGUUCACCCAAGACAAGGCAGAAACCAAGCAGGUGCCGGUCGACGAGGACGGGUCCUCAGGAGCCACCUUCACCAUAGGUGCCAGCCUCAACCCCAGCCAAGAGGAAGCAUUGGUGAAGUUCUUGCACGUGAACAAGGAUAUAUUCGCAUGGGAGCCCAAUCAGCUGGUAGGGGUCCCGAGAGAGGUGAUUCAGCACCACUUAAGGGUAUGCCCCAAUGUGCGCCCUGUGAAGCAGCGGGCGAGGCGGCAGUCCACGGAGAAGCAGGCCUUCAUCGACCAAGAGACCCGCAAGUUGGAGGCGGCAGGUGCCAUUCGUGAGGUUAGGUACCUCGAAUGGCUGGCGAACCCCGUUGUGGUGCCGAAGAAAGGCGGGAAGGAGCGAAUGUGCGUCGACUUCACCAACCUCAACAAGGCGUGCCCUCAAGAUCCAUUCCCUUUCCCACGCAUCGACCAGAUCGUCGACUCCACCGCCGAGUGCGACCUGCUGUGCUUCCUGGAUGCGUUCUCAGGGUAUCAUCAAAUCAAGAGGGCGGUGGAAGAUGUAGAGAAGACAGCCUUCCUGGCCUCGUGUGGGGUGUACUGCUACACCUGCAUGCCCUUCGGACUGCGCAACGCGGGCACGACCUUUCAGCGGAUGAUGCACAUCGCCUUAGGGCGGCAGCUCGGGAGAAACACGGAGGCCUACGUCAACGACAUUGUGGUGAAGUCUCGGGAGUUGAGAACCUUGAUCCAAGACCUGGAGGAGACCUUCGAGAGCCUGCGCCAGGUGAACUUGCGGCUUAACCCGGAGAAGUGUGUGUUCGGUGUCCCUUCCGGUAAGCUGCUGGGAUUCCUCGUGUCCCACAGAGGGAUUGAGGCGAACCCGGAGAAGAUCAAGGCCAUUGAGGACAUGAGCCCACCGCAGACCCUCAAGGAAAUGCAGAAGCUGGCUGGUCGGGUGACUGCGUUGGGGCGCUUCAUCUCCAAGCGGGGAGAGCGUGCCUUACCCUUCUUCAAGCUGAUGAAGAAGAAGGGCCCGUUCGAGUGGACCCCGGAGGCCGACCGAGCCUUCCAAGACCUCACCAGCCCUCCGGUGAUGGUGGCACCGCGGCCUCUUGAGCCUCUAGUACUUUAUCUUGCCGCCACCCCAUACUCCGCCAGCGCUGCGCUAGUGGCGGUUCCGGAGGAGCACCAAGCCAAGAGCGCGCUGCGCCAAGCUACGCCACAAGCCGAGAUGACGCAAGAUCAGGAAGGCGCAACAAGAGCCGUAGCGGCAACAACAGAAGACCAAGCUCGGCAGGACAACGCCAUAGAGAUUCCCACAAGCGAUCAGGCGCCAGGGGUCCCACCACCUCAGGAGGCACCCCAGCUUUCGCAAGACGCGAGCCUCACCAACACGCCUGUCCUCGUCGAGCACCCGGUGUACUUCGUCAGCACGGUGUUGCAGGACACGAGGGAACGAUAUCCCAUGCCUCAGAAGCUCCUGCUCGCGCUCCUGGUGGCCUCGCGCAAGUUGCGGCACUACUUCCAGGGCCACCCCAUCAAAGUCAUCUCGGCCUACCCAUUGGAGAGUGUGCUCAGGAGCCCCAACUCUGCCGGAAGGGUCGCCGAGUGGAACAUCGAGCUGCAGGCAUUCCAGUUGGAGUUCAGCACCACCAGGGUCAUCAAGGGAGCCGCACUCACUGACUUCGUGGCAGAAUGGAUGGAUGCCCCGACGCUGGAAGUAGGCGAGGACCGGUUGAUGACCCACAAGUAUAGGGGAUCUAUCGUAGUCCUUUCGAUAAGUAAGAGUGUCGAACCCAAUGAGGAGCAGAAGGAAAUGAUAAGCGGUUUUCAGCAAGGUAUUCUCUGCAAGCACUGA
Molecule: ribosomal RNA, 2073 nt
Filed under: Triticum aestivum (bread wheat)
Lineage: Eukaryota; Viridiplantae; Streptophyta; Magnoliopsida; Poales; Poaceae
Description: partial small subunit ribosomal RNA
Source: RNAcentral